This 337-nucleotide long non-coding RNA is filed under the name Glycine max (soybean). RNAcentral's name for it is "long non-coding RNA (GMAX_LNC001530)". Lineage: Eukaryota; Viridiplantae; Streptophyta; Magnoliopsida; Fabales; Fabaceae. The record is from RNAcentral.
CUAUACCCUGGAAAACAAAAAGAAACAAUAUACCCUGACACAUGGAAUGAUGUAGGUCUUUAUAAGAAAGUCCUCAAGCUUUCACACCUGUUCAAAGAUAAGGCAAACCCUUUAACCUCGACGAUUAGUAUUUGCAUCGAUCUAAUUUAUGAUGUUCUCCUAGUGAUAGCAAUACGCUGAUACAAAUUACUUAACCAAGAUGACUACAGAUAAAUAAAUCUCUUUUUAUGAAACCUCAACCAUCUCCAAGAUAAAAUAAGAGCAUAUUCAAAAAUCUUUGUAGCUUCCAAGCCUGAUUGUUGAAACACAACUUUGUUCCUACCCAACCAAGUUGCCC